This 393-nucleotide ribosomal RNA is filed under the name uncultured bacterium. Its description in RNAcentral is "partial 16S ribosomal RNA". It matches the Rfam family "Bacterial small subunit ribosomal RNA", at positions 523 to 918 of the family's 1533-position model. The record is from RNAcentral.
AUACGGAGGAUCCGAGCGUUAUCCGGAUUUAUUGGGUUUAAAGGGUGCGCAGGCGGGAGAUUAAGUCGGCGGUGAAAUUUUGCAGCUCAACUGUAAAAGUGCCUUCGAAACUGGUUUUCUUGAGUGUAGAUGAAGUAGGCGGAAUUUGUGGUGUAGCGGUGAAAUGCAUAGAUAUCACGAGGAACUCCGAUUGCGCAGGCAGCUUACUAAACUACGACUGACGCUCGGUCACGAAGGCGUGGGGAUCAAACAGGAUUAGAUACACUGGUAGUCCACGCAGUAAACGAUGAUUACUAGCUUUUUGCGAUACAAUGUAAGCGGCUGAGCGAAAGCGUUAAGUAAUCCACCUGGGGAGUACGUUCGCAAGAAUGAAACUCAAAGGAAUUGACGGGG